Molecule: transfer RNA, 68 nt
Filed under: Ctenophorus caudicinctus caudicinctus
Lineage: Eukaryota; Metazoa; Chordata; Lepidosauria; Squamata; Agamidae
Description: tRNA-Tyr
Source: RNAcentral
UGGUAAAGGUGGCUGAAGAAUAAGUGGUGGAUUGUAACUCCAUUUAUGGGGCUAGUCCCUUCUUUACA